UCGAACGGCGCGAGCCGCCCUCGACACACAAACCAGGUGGAAGCGACCCGUGCUUCGGCGCUCCGGCGCCGCCUCGACGCAUGAAUCCGUCUGAAGUCUGAACACGAAAUUUGAAUCA
RNAcentral lists this unclassified non-coding RNA (118 nucleotides) under uncultured Archaeorhizomyces. RNAcentral's name for it is "sequence contains ITS1". Lineage: Eukaryota; Fungi; Ascomycota; Archaeorhizomycetes; Archaeorhizomycetales; Archaeorhizomycetaceae. The record is from RNAcentral.